Long non-coding RNA from Dermochelys coriacea (leatherback sea turtle), 442 nucleotides. RefSeq lists it as uncharacterized. The record is from RefSeq and is a predicted model, not a curated record. The transcript has 3 exons. NCBI's taxonomy places the organism in Eukaryota, Metazoa, Chordata, Testudines, Dermochelyidae.
GGGGGCAGAAACGCUCCUCACCUAGUUGCGUGAAGGGUUAUUUAUGGGGAUGGCCGGGGCCUCUGUGCCUGGCCCUGGGCCCCCUGUGCUCGGCGCUGUACACGCCGCAGCAAGCGCUGACAGGCUGUAAGGCAAACCCAAGGGCCGCAGCUACGGCCCUGUAGCGUGGACACUCACCGCAGCGACAGAAAGGGAAGGGGUUGCUGGAGUAAACUCAUCCCCACCAGAGGCGGAAGCUAGGGCCCCGGACGCGUUCUUCCAUCCACCUUGCUGCGUCUACAGGCCUCAUAGCAAAGACGACGUCUAAGGAGGACAAUGAAGUUUGUUGGGAAGAGAGAACGAAAGGCUUUGGCAGCGCUAUGGAGUUGCAGAUACCAGAGAGUGGAGGCACCUGGAUUCAGGAUAAGGUGGACAUACCAUUUUUGCGGCAAUGUUUAACCAA